Molecule: ribosomal RNA, 424 nt
Filed under: uncultured eukaryote
Lineage: Eukaryota
Description: bacterial SSU rRNA
Rfam family: Eukaryotic small subunit ribosomal RNA
Source: RNAcentral
CAAUAGCGUAUACUAAUGUUGUUGCAGUUAAAAAGCUCGUAGUUGGAUUUCUGGGAUUUUCAGCCGGCCGGCUCUUAGGAGUUGUAGCUAGGUUUGCAAGUCUCAUCUUCUCACAAUUCUCACUGGCCUUAACUGUUCGGUGCAGAGGACUGAGUCGUUUACUUUGAGAAAAUUAGAGUGUUCAAAGCAGGCUAUCGCCUUGAAUAUAUUAGCAUGGAAUAAUGAUAUAGGACUUUGGUUCUAUUUUGUUGGUUGUUCGAGGACCGAAGUAAUGAUUGAUAGGGACGGUUGGGGGCAUUCAUAUUCCAAUGUCAGAGGUGAAAUUCUUGGAUUAUCGGAAGAUGAACUUCUGCGAAAGCAUCUGCCAAGGAUGUUUUCAUUGAUCAAGAACGAAAGUUAGGGAUCAAAGAUGAUUAGAUACCGU